Molecule: ribosomal RNA, 303 nt
Filed under: Triticum aestivum (bread wheat)
Lineage: Eukaryota; Viridiplantae; Streptophyta; Magnoliopsida; Poales; Poaceae
Description: partial small subunit ribosomal RNA
Source: RNAcentral
AUGGUUGGUAUGAUAGCGAUGAAGCAUGUGCUUGCUAUGAUAGUGAUGAACCAUGUACAUGUAUGCUUCUGCUUUCAUGGAUUGUCCUUAGUGCUUGUUGAGACAACUACUGCUGCUGUCGCCGCUGCCGUUGUACUCAAGCUAGCAGCAACAAAGGCAAAUAAGGAUGGUAGGUCGAACAACAUGAAGUGGCAGCCAUUCAUGUCCACGUUCGUGCUGAAAAAGAUGUGUGAGCUCAUCUCUAGUGGAGUUACGACUGACAAGGGCUUCAAGGAGGUGCACUUGAACACCGUUGCGAAGUAG